RNAcentral lists this unclassified non-coding RNA (400 nucleotides) under soil metagenome. Its description in RNAcentral is "partial contains 5.8S ribosomal RNA, internal transcribed spacer 2, and large subunit ribosomal RNA". The stretch from base 1 to 122 matches the Rfam family "5.8S ribosomal RNA", at positions 35 to 154 of the family's 154-position model. The record is from RNAcentral.
GAUGAAGAACGUAGUGAAAUGCGAUACUUGGUGUGUAUUGCAGAAUCCCGUGAACCAUCGAGUCUUUGAACGCAAGUUGCGCCUCAAGCCAUUAGGUUGAGGGCACGUCUGCCUGGGCGUCACAUAUCGUUGCCUGAUGCCAGUUUCCUCGUGAUGGGUGACUGUGCAGGGCGAAUGAUGGCUUCCCGUGAGCAUUGUUGCCUCAUGGUUGGUUGAAAAUUGAGUCCUUGGUAGGGAGCGCCGUGAUAGAUGGUGGGUGAGUGACGAACGAGACCCAAUCAUGUGAGACCCCUACCGAAUUUGGCCUUCAUGACCCACAUGCGUCUUUGGAACGCUCAUGACGAGACCUCAGGUCAGGCGGGGCUACCCGCUGAGUUUAAGCAUAUCAAUAAGCGGAGGA